CGUUUAGGGGUAAACCUGAGAAACCCGAAAGGUCGAAGGGAGAAAUUCAUUCGCGUUUCGAAACGAAGGCUGGAGGUAUGUGAGUCGAGCGGCAAGUUACGCGCGUGCGUUCCAUACUACCAUCGAAUUCGUUGCGAACGUGUGCACUUUUCUCCUGGUAGGACGUCGCGAUCCGUCGGGCGUCGGUCUACGGUGCGCGGUGGAGCCCGCUCGAUAUUUUUUUGUCGAACGGACCCGCGUUAUCCUGGCCGACUCGCUCGACGGUACACUUUACGGUUAGAGGCCGCUCUAGAAGCGUCCGACUCGGCGCAAGCGCGCCAGAAUCGUCGGCGACCGGACCUAGUGCCGAUUCCGACAUCUGGUGACUGUUGGCAGCCGAAGUUCUUGGACUAGACCUCGUCGACCGAUCUGCGACGCUAUAGCUUUGGGUACUUUCAGGACCCGUCUUGAAACACGGACCAAGGAGUCUAGCAUGUGCGCGAGUCAUUGGGAAUCAUUAAACCUAAAGGCGCAAUGAAAGUGAAAAGGGAAGAAAAGCGUUCUCACGGCUAGUGCCGGCGCUUCGCAUUCCCGGGGCGUCUCCUUCUCAUCGCGAGACGAGGCGCACCAAGAGCGUACACGCUGGGACCCGAAAGAUGGUGAACUAUGCCUGGUC
Molecule: ribosomal RNA, 655 nt
Filed under: Phrixosoma concavifrons
Lineage: Eukaryota; Metazoa; Arthropoda; Insecta; Coleoptera; Curculionidae
Description: eukaryotic LSU rRNA
Rfam family: Eukaryotic large subunit ribosomal RNA
Source: RNAcentral